CGUUUGUGUUUUCAGCACCUUGGACAGCGGCCAAACAGAAGCGCACGCCGCUGAGUAAGUGCGAGAGGUUCUCCUGCUGCUGCACUGCCAUUGGUCAGAUUUUCCGAGGUCGUGUGACUCAUAACGGAGCCAGAAGGCAGAAACACAGUGAUGAGCUCAACCGUGACUGAACUGGGCUGAUCAGACAGACUGAGCUGCACCUGCAUCCCUGCGGUGGACACGUGUGACGUCACUGAGCUGAUGAAUGUGGAUUAAACACUGGCUGAUAUUAAACCACACAAGGGAAGAUGAGGCAGACACCCUUGGUUGUACCUGUAGUGGCCCAUUGGCUUCAACAAGCAAGACAUGGAGAGUUUCUGACAG
Non-coding RNA from Danio rerio (zebrafish), 363 nucleotides. The record is from RefSeq and is a predicted model, not a curated record. Lineage: Eukaryota; Metazoa; Chordata; Actinopteri; Cypriniformes; Danionidae.